UACGUAGGAUCCAAGCGUUGUCCGGAUUUAUUGGGUUUAAAGGGUGCGUAGGCGGCCUGUUAAGUCAGUGUUGAAAGUUAAGAGCUCAACUCUUAAAGUGGCAUUGAUACUGAUAGGCUUGAGUAUAGAUGAAGUGGGCGGAAUGUGUCAUGUAGCGGUGAAAUGCAUAGAUAUGACCCAGAACGUCGAUUGCGAAGGCAGCUCACUAAGGUAUAACUGACGCUGAGGCACGAAAGUGUGGGUAUCAAACAGG
Molecule: ribosomal RNA, 253 nt
Filed under: bacterium
Lineage: Bacteria
Also listed under: 1 other name
Description: partial 16S ribosomal RNA
Rfam family: Bacterial small subunit ribosomal RNA
Source: RNAcentral